UAUUAGUUUGAUCCUGGCUAAUAUUUUAUAAUCUGUCAAAAAAAUGUAUGUAAUACCUGGAAAUGUUACUCCUUAAAUUUUAAAAAUAACUAGAUUAGUGUAAUCUAUUCACUCACAACAUUUCAUUUUAAGCCAUAAUUGUAAGAUUGACUUAAUUUACAGAAUAAGCCUGACUAAUCCUUGUGCCAGCAGUCGCGGUUACACUUGAAGGCUAAGUAAAAUAUGAUCGGCUUAUAGUGAGAUUCUUAUUUAAAUUUUACCUAACAAAUUAUAAUGAAUUAAGGUGGAAUUUUAUCAUUUAUUACUAAGUUAGGAACAUUUAAGAAAAAUCAAGUCUAUGAAAUUCGUUGUAGAAACUGGGAUUAGAUACCCCAUUAUUGAUGAACUUUACAUUAUAGCCCAAAGAUUACGAGCUAUGUCCUUCAAAUUUAAAGGAUUUGGCGGUAAUUUAAUCUAACUAGAGGAGCUUGUUUUUAAAACGAUAAACCCCGAAAUAUCUUACCUAAUUUGAAAAUUUGUAUACCGUCAUUAUCAGGUAACUUCGAGAGGAAAAGUUACUAUAAUAAACACCGUUUAAAAUAUUAGAUCAAGGUGCAGUUUAUAGUUAGGAUAAAAUGAGCUACAAUAAAUUUUAUUUAUCACGGAGAUACAUUUGAAAAAUGUAUUGAAGGAGGAUUUAGUUGUAAACAUAAUUUAAUAUGUUAUGUUGAUAUAAGAUCUAAAUUAUGUACACAUCGCCCGUCGCUUUCAUUUUUAGAUGAAAUAAGUCGUAACAAAGUAGGUGUACCGGAAGGUGUACCUAGACAGCU
RNAcentral lists this non-coding RNA (809 nucleotides) under Strahlaxius plectrorhynchus. The record is from RNAcentral. Lineage: Eukaryota; Metazoa; Arthropoda; Malacostraca; Decapoda; Strahlaxiidae.